RNAcentral lists this ribosomal RNA (882 nucleotides) under Triticum aestivum (bread wheat). Its description in RNAcentral is "partial small subunit ribosomal RNA". The record is from RNAcentral. Lineage: Eukaryota; Viridiplantae; Streptophyta; Magnoliopsida; Poales; Poaceae.
AUGCAGGUCAUCGUGUGGUUUGUGGAUGAUUUUAGAACAAAACUAGCCGUCAUUUUAGUGGACUCGGAAUUGAAUGAUGAUAAUAUAAGAAAUCGAGACAUUGAAGAUGACGAAGACAACACAGAUCCCACGGAUUGUAUGAUUUUGGAAACACCCCCUGAGAACCUCAAACCAUCGAAUACAUCGUCAGAAGUUGAGCAGGAGUCGCAAUCAUUUAUCCUUUCGCCCUCUCUCACUCCAACAAAUGAUGACUUAAUAGAUGAACUUUGUUUUUUCAUCGGUAUGGUUGAUGAUGUCGCUCUACUAGACGUGCCACGAAGUCUAGCUUUCAGAGACAUUCCAUGUCACUACAUGGAUCUAAAUUUUUGUUUCAUGUCGUACUAUGCACGAGACUCACGUCAUCGUGGAAAUAUGGACAUUGCUAUGUUGAAAUGGAUGUUUAAUAGCUGGCCAGACAGUAAUGAGUAUCAUAUUUCACAGUGUCAUACAAUUUUAUUGCCUUGGGAUAUUUGUGGGAUAUUUCUAUUGUUUGUUUUCGAUCAAAAUAAAAAAGUUGUCUCAAUUAUGGAUCCGAUACCAAUACCUAUUUUGGGAAAAAUUGUACUUAAAACUGUGGUCAACAACCUAAACCGUGCACUCCAAGUUGCAAACCCUGCAUUCAAAGACGACAUCUCUAAAUGGAAAUGGAAAGUUCCUGUUGUUCCAACAAACUCACAUGGUGCCUUGUCGGGUUAUUUGGUGUUUAAUUUCAUGCACUCAAUGUGCGGUGGACAGCUAUAUUUUCCCAUACCCCAGUAUGAAGAGAAUGAAGCUCAAGACAAUAUCCCAUCAAUUGAACGAAGCAUCAUAGAUCGCAUCAAUAGAUGGACCUUCAUUGCUUGA